This 360-nucleotide ribosomal RNA is filed under the name Eleutherodactylus johnstonei (Johnstone's robber frog). RNAcentral's name for it is "partial 12S ribosomal RNA". It matches the Rfam family "Bacterial small subunit ribosomal RNA", at positions 870 to 1384 of the family's 1533-position model. The record is from RNAcentral. Lineage: Eukaryota; Metazoa; Chordata; Amphibia; Anura; Eleutherodactylidae.
CGCCCGGGAACUACGAGCAAAGCUUAAAACCCAAAGGACUUGACGGUGCCCCAUAUCCCCCUAGAGGAGCCUGUCCUAUAAUCGAUGAUCCCCGUUCAACCUCACCACUUCUAGCUUAUCAGCCUGUAUACUUCCGUCGUAAGUUUACCACGUGAGCGAUAACUCAGUAAGUCUAACGUCCUACACACUUAUUUUACCGACAAUACGUCAGGUCAAAGUGCAGCAAAUGAAGUGGGAAGAGAUUGGCUACACUUUUUAACAUAAAAGAAAACGAAAGACAAUAAUGAAACUUUGUCCGAAGGCGGAUUUAGCAGUAAAAAAAAUUCAAAACAUUUAUUUUAACUUAGCACUGGGGUGUGU